CGGCGGACGGGUGAGUAACGCGUGAGCAACCUGCCUCAAACAGGGGGAUAACGCAUCGAAAGAUGUGCUAAUACCGCGUAAGACCACAGCAUCACAUGGUGCAGGGGUCAAAGGAGCAAUCCGGUUUGAGAUGGGCUCGCGUCCGAUUAGCUAGUUGGUGAGAUAACAGCCCACCAAGGCGACGAUCGGUAGCCGACCUGAGAGGGUGAUCGGCCACAUUGGAACUGAGAUACGGUCCAGACUCCUACGGGAGGCAGCAGUGGGGAAUAUUGGGCAAUGGGCGAAAGCCUGACCCAGCAACGCCGCGUGAGGGAAGAAGGGUUUCGGCUCGUAAACCUCUGUCCUAUGGGACGAAGGAAGUGACGGUACCAUAGGAGGAAGCCCCGGCUAACUACGUGCCAGCAGCCGCGGUAAUACGUAGGGGGCGAGCGUUGUCCGGAAUGAUUGGGCGUAAAGGGCGCGUAGGCGGCCUGAUAAGUCUGGAGUGAAAGUCCUGCUUUCAAGGUGGGAAUUGCUUUGGAUACUGUUGGGCUGGAGUGCAGGAGAGGAAAGCGGAAUUACCGGUGUAGCGGUGAAAUGCGUAGAGAUCGGUAGGAACACCAGUGGCGAAGGCGGCUUUCUGGACUGUAACUGACGCUGAGGCGCGAAAGCGUGGGGAGCAAACAGGAUUAGAUACCCUGGUAGUCCACGCUGUAAAACGAUGAAUGCUAGGUGUAGGAGGUUAUCGACCCCUU
RNAcentral lists this ribosomal RNA (734 nucleotides) under uncultured bacterium. RNAcentral describes it as "bacterial SSU rRNA". It matches the Rfam family "Bacterial small subunit ribosomal RNA", at positions 96 to 842 of the family's 1533-position model. The record is from RNAcentral.